GAGGUCUUCAUAAAAAAUGGAAGAGAGUGGUUAAUCCAAAUUCUCUGAAACUUUAGGAGUUCCUGGCUCACUCACCUGUCCUUCCUAAAUGUCCCUCAUUGUGACUAUGUUAUUAUAGGAUAUUUGCACUUAAUAACCUUUGAAGGUUUGUGAGAAAUAUAUGUUGUCAAGAAAUAAUGACCAUGAUGCUGAGCCAGACUGGCUAUUCAAUGAACCACAAGGCUGAGUCUCCUCCUGUGGAAAUUUCC
Ceratotherium simum simum (southern white rhinoceros) is the source of this 248-nucleotide non-coding RNA. The record is from RefSeq and is a predicted model, not a curated record. Lineage: Eukaryota; Metazoa; Chordata; Mammalia; Perissodactyla; Rhinocerotidae.